AUAAAAAUAUUUGUCACUAUUUAUUUUGGUUUUAUUUGCUCUUGAAACUGAACACUUUUGGGCACCCUGCGCAAGUACAACUAGUGUUUUCAAUAUUUUUUAUUAACUAAAAGAAGUCCAUUUUGAAAUGUGUAGGAGUAUUAUUGUGAGUGGCGUCAUCGAGUGGUUAUCUCCCAAACAGUGACUCUAACUCAUGUGACAAGCGACUACGAACCGAAAUACGCUAGGUGUUUUGCGGCAUCUAUCUUGACGUGGCAGGGGAUGCGAGGCCUUUUCCACAUCAGCCAUUUUGUGUGUUAACUGUAUUGGUUUGCUCAGGUGAUUGCAUAAUAUACGAACUCAUAUAAAUAAAGUGAUCAAAGUCCAACACAUCCAUGGGAAAUAUAUUUGUCUCGCUUUUCAAAGAUCUGUUUGGGAAGAAGGAGAUGCGGAUUUUGAUGGUAGGACUUGAUGCUGCUGGAAAAACAACAAUUCUGUAUAAACUGAAGUUAGGAGACAUUGUUACCACAAUUCCUACCAUAGGUUUUAACGUAGAAACAGUGGAAUAUAAAAACAUCUGUUUUACUGUGUGGGACAUUGGAGGUCAAGACAAAAUCAGACCAUUGUGGCGUUACUACUUUCAAAAUACACAAGGACUUAUAUAUGUAGUGGACAGCAAUGACAGAGAAAGAGUUGGUGAAGCAAGAGAAGAACUGUUCCGAAUGUUGGGAGAAGAUGAGCUAAGAGAUGCUGUUUUGUUGAUCUUUGCUAACAAACAGGACUUGCCCAAUGCUAUGAAUGCAGCAGAAAUAACAGAUAAACUUGGACUUCAUUCUUUAAGGAACAGAAAUUGGUACAUCCAAGCUACGUGUGCAACUAGCGGGGACGGUCUGUACGAAGGCCUGGAUUGGCUAUCCAGCCAGUUGAGAAAUCAGAAAUAAUGGAUGUUGUUAUGAUCUAGUUAAAUAUUUACAUCAUUUGGUUGAUACGUCACCAGAAUACCCUCUUUCAUUUAUUUAUCUUUUUAAUUAUAAUUUCAAGAAAUCUGCUCUGAUGAGAUAGCAAGUCAUGUUUUUUAACUUUUUUUUUUUUUCUUAAAGUCACUUAAGUUUAACAAUCGGUUAUAUCACCAUUUUCCCUUCUAGUUAAUUAAGUGGUCUUUAGAAUAUCGGAAAUUGUAUUUUAUAAACUUUUGUGUUUUCUCUAUUAGUUCUGUUCGUUAUUUUUUAUUACCUUGCGUAAGUUACCGGAACAAAACUGUACAGAACUAGAAGAGGCUGGAGUAAUUGUUAAUUUUGUAAAUAUUGCUUCACUUUGUUUUUGUUUUUUCACCCCCCAUCUCCAUUUGUGAUUAUCUCAUUGCUGAGGGCCCAAAAUAGUUGAUUUACAAGCACAUUGUGAUUUUUAUAAAACAUUUGGAGCACAUAUUUGGGGAGGAAGCCUUUCACAGAAUGAAAGUGACAGGGGGAUAAGAAGCUUUGAACGAGAUCUUGAUAUUCCACCAGAUCAAGUUGAGGUGCAGUGUAGGCCUAAUUUGUUUUUCUGUAAUUUGAACAUAAAUAAAGUUUGUCCCUGUGAAUACUUGA
RNAcentral lists this unclassified non-coding RNA (1565 nucleotides) under Limulus polyphemus (Atlantic horseshoe crab). Its description in RNAcentral is "aDP-ribosylation factor 1-like, transcript variant X2". Lineage: Eukaryota; Metazoa; Arthropoda; Merostomata; Xiphosura; Limulidae. The record is from RNAcentral.